CUCACCCAGUGAGGAUGCAUUCCCAGUCACACCAGCUUGCUGUAACAGAAGAAAAAUAAGAAGGGAAAAUAAAUGUUUCCUAAUUAGAACACAGCAAAAAGGGAAACAUUCUUUCAUUUCCUGUUGAACAGUGAACUCAGCCUUGGGAAGCAGAACAGCAAUAUGUAAUUCCUCUUUCCAGCAAGCAGAUUACUGUCUCCCGCCCAUUUACUGAUAGCAUUGGCACCUAGAAUCCCAUGUUACAAGCUACGGUUGAACUUCUCUUACUUUUGCUUCCUGGUAUUAGACUGAUUUUUGCUUUUGUCAGCCAGAACCAACACGCCAAUCUCCCCAUGGGACAUGUGCAAGGGCCUAUAGGCAGGAUUCAAAUUAUCCCUGAACCUUCUCUUUGAGCUAGAUAUACUGAACAUAUAAUUACUGUGUUCUAGUUUAUUUAUCACUUUUAUGGUCAUCUUCAAUGGUUUUUACUAUGUCCAUACCCUCCUUGAAGUGUGGGUGCCAGAACUGGACACUGCAUACAAUUCUAUUUGUAAUCCUACCAACACUGUAUCAAGAAUAAAAUUUUUCUGUUUCAGUUAAACUUUUUUCUU
RNAcentral lists this long non-coding RNA (590 nucleotides) under Struthio camelus australis. RNAcentral describes it as "lncRNA (ENSSCUG00000008346.1)". Lineage: Eukaryota; Metazoa; Chordata; Aves; Struthioniformes; Struthionidae. The record is from RNAcentral.